RNAcentral lists this unclassified non-coding RNA (727 nucleotides) under Hevea brasiliensis (rubber tree). The record is from RNAcentral. Lineage: Eukaryota; Viridiplantae; Streptophyta; Magnoliopsida; Malpighiales; Euphorbiaceae.
GGCAAUUUGUGCAUUGCAAAAUUUUGUAAUGAGCAGUAGAACAAACAGGAGAGCUGUUGCAGACGCAGGUGGAAUUUUAAUGGUUCAAGAACUGCUUAUAGCCCCUAAUACAGAAAUUGUAGUACAAGCAUCUCUGCUCGUAAGGUUUUUAUUCUCAAAUCACACGCUUCAAGAAUAUGUAUCAAACGAGCUUAUCAGAUCUUUGACAGCUGCACUUGAUAAGGAAUUGUGGAACAAGGCAACUGCUAGUGAGGAGAUUCUCCGGACAAUUCAUGUUAUAUUUUCUAAUUUUCCCAAGCUCCAUGUUACUGAUGCUGCUACGCUUUGUAUCCCUCAUCUGGUGGCUGCAUUGAAGUCUGGUAGUGAGCCUGCACAGGAUUCAGUAUUGACUACACUAUGCUUACUCAAGCAAUCAUGGUCAACCAUGCCAAUGGAUGUGUCAAACUCACAAGCAAUGGUUGCUGCUGAAGCCAUUCCAGUAUUGCAGAUACUAAUGAAGACUUGCCCACCAAGUUUCCAUGAUAGAGCAGACAGUCUGUUGCAUUGCUUACCAGGUUGUUUGACAGUCACAAUCAAGCGUGCAAACAAUUUAAAGCAGGUGAUGGGAGGAACUAAUGCUUUUUGUCAAUUGACUAUUGGAAAUGGUCCAUCACGGCAAACAAAGGUUGUGAGUCACAGUACGUCACCAGAAUGGGAAGAAGGCUUCACAUGGGCUUUUGAUGUACCA